Molecule: ribosomal RNA, 64 nt
Filed under: Anaerotignum lactatifermentans
Lineage: Bacteria; Bacillati; Bacillota; Clostridia; Lachnospirales; Anaerotignaceae
Description: partial 23S ribosomal RNA
Source: RNAcentral
AGGUCAAGCAAGAAAGAGCACAGGGUGAAUGCCUUGGCACUGGGAGCCGAUGAAAGACGUGGUA